GGGCCCGUAGUCUAGGGGGAAGACGCCGGGUUCGGGUCCCGGAGAUCGCGGGUUCGAAUCCCGCCGGGCCCA
Molecule: transfer RNA, 72 nt
Filed under: Nanoarchaeum equitans Kin4-M
Lineage: Archaea; Nanobdellati; Nanobdellota; Candidatus Nanoarchaeia; Nanoarchaeales; Nanoarchaeaceae
Description: tRNA-Pro (CGG) (tRNA-Pro-CGG-1-1)
Rfam family: tRNA
About the family: Transfer RNA (tRNA) molecules are approximately 80 nucleotides in length. Their secondary structure includes four short double-helical elements and three loops (D, anti-codon, and T loops).
Source: Rfam by way of RNAcentral